UACAGAGGUCCCAAGCGUUGUUCGGAUUCACUGGGCGUAAAGGGUGCGUAGGUGGCGAGGCAAGUCGGAUGUGAAAUCUCGGAGCUCAACUCCGAAACGGCAUUGGAAACUGCUUUGCUUGAGGGUUGGAGGGGGGACUGGAAUACUUGGUGUAGCAGUGAAAUGCGUAGAUAUCAAGUGGAACACCAGUGGCGAAGGCGAGUCCCUGGACAACUCCUGACACUGAGGCACGAAAGCCGGGGGAG
Molecule: ribosomal RNA, 245 nt
Filed under: uncultured bacterium
Lineage: Bacteria
Description: partial 16S ribosomal RNA
Rfam family: Bacterial small subunit ribosomal RNA
Source: RNAcentral